UCCGGUUUGACACCGGCAGUCUCCUAUGAGUCCCCGACAUAACUCGCUGGCAACAUAGGACAGGGGUUGCGCUCGUUGCGGGACUUAACCCAACACCUCACGGCACGAGCUGACGACAACCAUGCACCACCUGUAUAGGACGCCGAAGCACACCACAUCUCUGUGGUUUUUCCCUAUAUGUCAAGCCCUGGUAAGGUGGGGAUGACGUACGGAAUGUCGAUA
RNAcentral lists this unclassified non-coding RNA (222 nucleotides) under uncultured Euzebyaceae bacterium. RNAcentral's name for it is "contains 16S-23S intergenic spacer region". Lineage: Bacteria; Bacillati; Actinomycetota; Nitriliruptoria; Euzebyales; Euzebyaceae. The record is from RNAcentral.